RNAcentral lists this ribosomal RNA (165 nucleotides) under uncultured bacterium. RNAcentral's name for it is "partial 16S rRNA". It matches the Rfam family "Bacterial small subunit ribosomal RNA", at positions 355 to 511 of the family's 1533-position model. The record is from RNAcentral.
UAGGGAAUCUUCGGCAAUGGACGAAAGUCUGACCGAGCAACGCCGCGUGAGUGAAGAAGGUUUUCGGAUCGUAAAACUCUGUUGUUAGAGAAGAACGACGAGGAGAGUGGAAAGCUCCUAGUGUGACGGUAUCUAACCAGAAAGGGACGGCUAACUACGUGCCAG